AGUGAACGCUGGCGGUAGGCCUAACACAUGCAAAUCGAACGGCAGCACAGUAAGAGCUUGCUCUUACGGGUGGCGAGUGGCGGACGGGUGAGGAAUACAUCGGAAUCUACUUUUUCGUGGGGGAUAACGUAGGGAAACUUAUGCUAAUACCGCAUACGACCUACGGGUGAAAGCAGGGGAUCUUCGGACCUUGCGCGUUUGAAUGAGCCGAUGUCGGAUUAGCUAGUUGGCGGGGUAAAGGCCCACCAAGGCGACGAUCCGUAGCUGGUCUGAGAGGAUGAUCAGCCACACUGGAACUGAGACACGGUCCAGACUCCUACGGGAGGCAGCAGUAGGGAAUAUUGGACAAUGGGCGCAAGCCUGAUCGAGCCAUGCCGCGUGAGUGAAGAAGGCCUUCGGAUUGUAAAGCCCUGUUAUUAGGAAAGAAAAGCAGCAGAUUAAUACCCCGAUGUUCUGACGGUACCCAAAGAAUAAGCACCGGCUAACUUCGUG
This 492-nucleotide ribosomal RNA is filed under the name uncultured bacterium. Its description in RNAcentral is "partial 16S ribosomal RNA". It matches the Rfam family "Bacterial small subunit ribosomal RNA", at positions 29 to 507 of the family's 1533-position model. The record is from RNAcentral.